GGUUCCAUAGUACAGCAGUUAGCACGUCUGCUUUACACGCAGAAGGUCCUGGGUUCACACCCCAGUGGAGUCC
Pteropus alecto (black flying fox) is the source of this 73-nucleotide non-coding RNA. The record is from Rfam. NCBI's taxonomy places the organism in Eukaryota, Metazoa, Chordata, Mammalia, Chiroptera, Pteropodidae.